This 1382-nucleotide ribosomal RNA is filed under the name Vibrio cholerae. RNAcentral describes it as "bacterial LSU rRNA". It matches the Rfam family "Bacterial large subunit ribosomal RNA", at positions 1586 to 2925 of the family's 2925-position model. Lineage: Bacteria; Pseudomonadati; Pseudomonadota; Gammaproteobacteria; Vibrionales; Vibrionaceae. The record is from RNAcentral.
UGAAGUCAUUGAUGCCAUGCUUCCAGGAAAAGCCUCUAAGCUUCAGAUAGUCAGGAAUCGUACCCCAAACCGACACAGGUGGUCGGGUAGAGAAUACCAAGGCGCUUGAGAGAACUCGGGUGAAGGAACUAGGCAAAAUGGUACCGUAACUUCGGGAGAAGGUACGCUCUUGAUGGUGAAGUCCCUCGCGGAUGGAGCUGACGAGAGUCGCAGAUACCAGGUGGCUGCAACUGUUUAUUAAAAACACAGCACUGUGCAAAAUCGCAAGAUGACGUAUACGGUGUGACGCCUGCCCGGUGCCGGAAGGUUAAUUGAUGGGGUUAGCGCAAGCGAAGCUCUUGAUCGAAGCCCCGGUAAACGGCGGCCGUAACUAUAACGGUCCUAAGGUAGCGAAAUUCCUUGUCGGGUAAGUUCCGACCUGCACGAAUGGCGUAAUGAUGGCCACGCUGUCUCCACCCGAGACUCAGUGAAAUUGAAAUCGCUGUGAAGAUGCAGUGUACCCGCGGCUAGACGGAAAGACCCCGUGAACCUUUACUACAGCUUGGCACUGAACAUUGAACCUACAUGUGUAGGAUAGGUGGGAGGCUAUGAAGACGUGACGCCAGUUGCGUUGGAGCCGUCCUUGAAAUACCACCCUUGUAUGUUUGAUGUUCUAACUUAGACCCAUUAUCUGGGUUGAGGACAGUGCCUGGUGGGUAGUUUGACUGGGGCGGUCUCCUCCCAAAGAGUAACGGAGGAGCACGAAGGUGGGCUAAUCACGGUUGGACAUCGUGAGGUUAGUGCAAUGGCAUAAGCCGCUUAACUGCGAGAAUGACGGUUCGAGCAGGUGCGAAAGCAGGUCAUAGUGAUCCGGUGGUUCUGUAUGGAAGGGCCAUCGCUCAACGGAUAAAAGGUACUCCGGGGAUAACAGGCUGAUACCGCCCAAGAGUUCAUAUCGACGGCGGUGUUUGGCACCUCGAUGUCGGCUCAUCACAUCCUGGGGCUGAAGUCGGUCCCAAGGGUAUGGCUGUUCGCCAUUUAAAGUGGUACGCGAGCUGGGUUUAGAACGUCGUGAGACAGUUCGGUCCCUAUCUGCCGUGGGCGUUGGAAGAUUGAAGGGGGCUGCUCCUAGUACGAGAGGACCGGAGUGGACGAACCUCUGGUGUUCGGGUUGUGUCGCCAGACGCAUUGCCCGGUAGCUAAGUUCGGAAUUGAUAAGCGCUGAAAGCAUCUAAGCGCGAAGCGAGCCCUGAGAUGAGUCUUCCCUGACAGUUUAACUGUCCUAAAGGGUUGUUCGAGACUAGAACGUUGAUAGGCAGGGUGUGUAAGCGUUGUGAGGCGUUGAGCUAACCUGUACUAAUUGCCCGUGAGGCUUAACCAUACAACACCCAAGGGGUUUUGUA